CCUACGGGUGGCAGCAGUGGGGAAUAUUGCGCAAUGGGCGAAAGCCUGACGCAGCGACGCCGCGUGAGGGAGGACGGCCCUACGGGUUGUAAACCUCUUUUGCCGGGGAGCAACGGGCGCCACGUGUGGCGUCACUGAGAGUACCCGGAGAAAAAGCAUCGGCUAACUCCGUGCCAGCAGCCGCGGUAAUACGGAGGAUGCGAGCGUUAUCCGGAUUUAUUGGGUUUAAAGGGUGCGUAGGCGGAUCGUUAAGUCAGUGGUCAAAUUGAGGGGCUCAACCCCUUCCCGCCAUUGAAACUGGCGUUCUUGAGUGGAAGAGAAGUAUGCGGAAUGCGUGGUGUAGCGGUGAAAUGCAUAGAUAUCACGCAGAACCCCGAUUGCGAAGGCAGCAUGCCGGCUUCCGACUGACGCUGAAGCACGAAAGCGUGGGGAUCGAACAGGAUUAGAUACCCGAGUAGUC
RNAcentral lists this ribosomal RNA (460 nucleotides) under uncultured bacterium. RNAcentral's name for it is "partial 16S ribosomal RNA". It matches the Rfam family "Bacterial small subunit ribosomal RNA", at positions 338 to 795 of the family's 1533-position model. The record is from RNAcentral.